Non-coding RNA from Rattus norvegicus (Norway rat), 1588 nucleotides. The record is from RefSeq and is a predicted model, not a curated record. NCBI's taxonomy places the organism in Eukaryota, Metazoa, Chordata, Mammalia, Rodentia, Muridae.
UCUCACCUCUGCACUUCUCCGCAGAGGAUGUUCCCUGAUGCCUGUAGCUAUCACCAUCCUCGCAGGAUCUGGGGUGCACGCCGGCAGAGGCGCCUCUGCAGUGCUCCCUGGGGGAUUCUUGGGUAGACAGGGAAAAAGAAUAAUAGUCAGUGUGUGAAACUCCCAGGCGAGGGCAGCUCCAUGCAUUUAUUCACACGAGAGAUGCAGACGCGUCCAUUAGCAUCACAGUAACCAUGGUAAUGUGAUCAGGACAAAACUCUUCUAACAACCUGAUGGGCUAGGCAGCCUGAAAGCAUCCUGUCACUCCCUGGAAUAGCAGGGACAUCCUUUUAGAGGCCUCCCAUUGCCUUUCAGGAAAUAAGAAUUGAAAGGCAGAAGGACAAGGGUGUAAGCUGGCCUGUCCGCAGUGAAGCGGGUAAGGGCGGUAUUACUGUUUACCUGGCUGUGAAUGUUAACAGGAGUGAAGACCCAAGAAGACGGAGCUCCUGAGAGGCUCUGCCUAUUGGAAGUAACCAUCCACAUUAACGUGUGCUGGCCAGCACUAGGAGAUGAAGAUGUGUCUCAACCUAGACUCUAAGUGAGUCAAGUCUCUCUUGUGACCCUGAGACCAAUCUUGUAUUCCAUGCGGGUUUGGUGUGCAUUUCUUAACCAUAUGAGACAUGAAUGUACAAACUGGUUUCAGCAUGGAUUAUCCCAAGAUGUCCUACAAAAGCAUAUGCAAUAUUGCAUUCGUGUGACUUGUCCUCAGCUAAGCCUGCAUACACAGAGGGUGUCUUCUGAGGAUGAUAUCACAGUCAAAAAAGUAUAAAAUGCACAAAGGAGCCAUCUGCUUUGAACAAUAAUUGAUAUACACAGGGCAGGAUCAGGUCUCUUGGAAGUUGGGUAAACACACAUGAGCUCAAAAAUAUGCUAAAGAUAUGUUUGAAAAAGAAAGUGAAUGUGACACAUAAAGUAGGAAAUGCAUUCUCAGUGCAGCAGGGUCAGCAUCAGGAAGGAACUUCCGCUUUUGGAACGCAGAGCUGACGGGUGCUCCGCUGAGGACACAGAGUUCAGAGUAAGUGAUAGCAUGCACAGGACGGGCUGAGCCAGCCAGGCAGAAGUAUAACAGCCGACUCCAGGAGCCUCUUGUAAGCAGUGAUGAAGACGGCCCUCGGGUCACAGAUCCCAAGGUCUGGAGGUCCUUCUGCAUCCAGUUUGCUCUGCGAGUGAGUAAGAGUUUCAUAAAGCGGUAAUUUCCCUAGAAAAUGAAAGGAAAAGGAGAGGAAGAGGAGAGUUUACUUUGUGGCCGUUUAUAACUCAAGGCCAACAGAAAUUUGACUGCUGCUCUGGGGAGGAGACAGCUAUAUGAACAGAUGAGCUUCUUCAGGUCUGGACACUAUCAGAUCUCGUACUGGAUUCUAACAAAAUGAAGAUGGCUUGCACAUGAAUCACAGAGAGGUGGAGAUGCGGCUGACCUACUGCAGUGUUUGCCACGGCCACCCAUGAACAACGAAGCAUUUCUAUUAAUGUUUAGUUCUGAUUCUUCGCUAUAACUGAUGUCAUCCAAUACCCAAACAUGGAUCCAAUUACAGGCCAGAAGUACAGGGAC